UGUUACUAAAAUAAAAAUAAAACUUAGUUUUAAAGGUUUUUACAGUAGAUUUGCAACUGUACACGUUUUUCAUCGUGUAAUACGUAUAAGCCCAAACACUAACGGUAAUUGGGAUAUUUUCACAUAAUAUUACGCAACAUAAUAACCAUUAAUUUAAUAUAGGUACCUAAAAUAGGAUGCUUAUAAGAGAGCUUGGAGGUUGAAAAUAUCUAUACAGAAUACACACAAGGGUUUAUCUUUGGGUUUAUCUCCUACAUACAGACAAGUGACUAUAUGUCCUUUGGUCAAUAUAGUUUGAGUGUAUUUAAUACCAGCAAAUUCACGAUGCAGAUAACUGAGACCAAAUAAUACACCACACACAAACAGAAUGGUUUUUGAAAAACUUGAAGAAACUAUGAAUCUCAAUAACAUCAAAUAACGGAAUGGAAUAUCUUUAGAAAAACUCGAGCAAAAACUCUGUUCAAAAAUUAUCAUCCACAGUAACUUAAAAUAAAAACUGACGGUCAAAAAUCUAGAGUAUAUUUACAGAACUAAAACCGUACCAUUCUAAGAUGCCAAUGGCCAUGGUUAUUAUAAGUUACUGCUGAUCAUGAUUUUGAAAGUACACUAUUGAAUAACUAUAAUAGAUAUUACAUUAGAUUCGAUUUCAAUGGUGAUAUUGCAUAUCUACAAAAACUGGUUCUAAAAAAAAUGAUUUCAAUAGUACGUCAGUAAACCAACUUUGUGUCAAGAAAUACGUCAGUCUUUGUUAUUUUAAGGUAAAUUGAAUUCGAUUUUUCAACUGCCGCAUUGUCGACAUGUGUUUUUUUUUACAAGGAUUAAGCGAGUGGCGAAUGAUGGAAAACAGAGACCAGCUAGAAGAAUUUUUGAAUAAUGAAAUGAAAUUCUAUAUUUUCAAACGAUGGAAAUUUGUUUUGAAUUACCUAAGCAGUGUUGUGCUGCAGUGAUACUUCCGUUUUUUUUUUUUUUAAUGGGAACUACUCAACAAGUGGAUGAUUAUUCCAAAAUGUUUAUGUCGAUCAAAAAAUCAAAAUUCAUAUUCUUAGCGAAGCUUUAGAUUGGUUGUGCAUUUUUUCCGGUCAACACUUUUCGAGGUCAAAAAGUUUCAUGCAGCAUUUCUUUACAGCAUAAUGGAAAUUGAAAACAGAUUGAUAUGGUACUUCAAGAAAGUAUAAUAAAUGUAAUAUUCUAUAGCAGAAGUUUUCAAGAUAAUCGAAGAAAACCAGUAAAAAAAAUUAGUAAAGAUAUAAAAGUAAGCACUCAUUUUAAAAAACAUUUUGACAUGCUCUUGAUUAAAGUGUAAACUUUGCUCAAAAUCGUUAUUGAUUACACUGCGUUAUUAAUGCAUAGUAUAAGACAAAAUGGUAAUAAUUUAAAUGUAUAUCGUCGUUUUCGAAUAAAAACAAUAUUAUUUUUUAAUUUACAUAGGUAUGCGUUGGGUUUUACGAGGCAUGUACGUAUAAAUCAGUAAAUGUUUAUUUUUCAAUAAAAUAUAUAAUAAAAACCUUACUGGAAAAUGUAAGUAUUUUAGUAUAGGUACUCGGUGAAUUAAUUAACAUGAAUAUGUAACAAAAGGAAUAUUUUAACUAAAAUUGCUAUCAUUUGUAACUCGCCUAUAAUGAAAAUAAACAUGGUAAUUAAAAAUUGAUCGCAUAGAUAUUGUCUACUAUAUAGGUACGAAGGGAAAUUGCCAAUUAUGUACAUUUACUAUUUUAUUUACUAUUAUAAUAUGUCAAUUAAAAACUAUCUGGUAUAAUGAUUUCAAAGCUGUAGACUGGAAUUAUUUUGGUUUAAAUUGCAUUUCAUAAAAUCGGGCCGCGGUAUUGUCAUUGCAGUUUUUAUAAAACUUGAUUUAAAUAUUCGAAAAAAUGUGAACAAUUUUGACGUCAGUGUCGUUUAGGUAUCAAUUUCAAACUCGUAUGUCUGUGGAUCUAUAUGUAUUUAUCAUAUUGUGUAGAUCUGUAGUCGUUUCGUAAAAAUCGAAUUUCUCAGUUUAGUUUCGUAAGUCAAAACAAAUUUAUCUAAGUGAAAUAAUAAUAUCACGGCGAUAUACCUAAAUAAAAUAUUGUGUUGCACACAUAUAUAAUAUCAGAGACGGGUCGCUAUGACCCUUGUCGAUUCGCAUGUAUUGGAAAUUCGGGUGUUUUCGACGCCGCUGCAGCCGAGCUGACAAAAUCGUACCGUCCUACAGUCCCUUCGGUGUACAAAUGUACAAUAGUCAUGUUAUUGUGCCACAGUGGCGGCGAUAGUGUACAGGACGACACGCGUCGAGUCCUGAGUGGGUAUAUUACAAUACAAUUACGAUGUUUGUGUCACUGUCCCACACUAGACCGUCGUAAACACGAAUAUUUACCAAAACGGGGUCGACAACGGUCGGCCGACGCGAUACUUAUACAUCGUAAUUCGUAGGCGUCUCCGGCGGCCGAUUCGGCUCGCCCGUCGCGCGUAAUCCCACCGGUGUGGCCCAUAAAAACCCAUAUAAAAUAUAUAUAGUAUGUUAUAUGUAUUUAUAGGUAUAAGCCAACUAUACCGGAUACUACUAUACGGGCAAUUUUUUAUUUGUCCAAUAUAUUUUUAAUAACCGAAUUAUAUUAUUAUUACACGGAUCCACGACGAAAUAUAUGUCCUCGAAACGUAUAUACAAUAUACAUGUAUACAUUUUCUAUCAUAUAUUUGUACCCUGCUCGAUAGCACUUACCGCAGUACCUAUAUAUGUAUAUAAUAAUAUAUGUAUUAUAUGAUAUUAUGUCUAAACAUAAAACCUUUUUGUUUUGGGCUGUUGUUGUUUUUUUUUUUUUUUUUUUUUAUUGCGAAACGAUAUAAAACCACCCAAAAGAUACUCGCGAUAUGACUUGGAGACGAUAAAAUCCACGUUCGGACAUAUAAAGUUUAAUGUGUGUAAGACAAAUUUGAUAUAAAAAAAAAAUACACGUGUAUAUUAAUGCGACUUUAAUAUAUUAUUAUUAUUAUAAAAACAUUAUUAUCGAGCUGCAAGUGCACAUUAACCAAAUGAUGAUUAUAAUAUUGUAUAGACUAUAAUAUAUUAUAUUAUACUCUAUACAUAUAUACGUGUAUAUGUGUGGGUGUGUAUUUGAAUGCGCCAGUAAAAAAUUAAGUAAUUUAUUAAUUAAGUUAUGUGUGUAAUGUGUAUAAUGUAUAUAUAUAAAAGUGUGAGUCUAACCAUUUUAACCACUUUAAAAAAAAAUUCUUGUUUUCAUUCAUUUGUGUGCACUUUGUACUGUUGAUUAAUAUUUACUCGCCAUCCACUUACACUUAUUCCGCAAACCUUUUAUUGGGUGAAAAUAUAUUUUUUUUAAAUUAUUUUAAAUUGAAUGGGCAUAGAAAUAAAAACAUACACACUUCAAAAAAGUUAUCUUUUAUU
Aphis gossypii (cotton aphid) is the source of this 3382-nucleotide long non-coding RNA. RefSeq lists it as uncharacterized. The record is from RefSeq and is a predicted model, not a curated record. Lineage: Eukaryota; Metazoa; Arthropoda; Insecta; Hemiptera; Aphididae. The transcript is spliced from 8 exons.